This 413-nucleotide long non-coding RNA is filed under the name Phasianus colchicus (ring-necked pheasant). RNAcentral describes it as "lncRNA (ENSPCLG00000019962.1)". The record is from RNAcentral. Lineage: Eukaryota; Metazoa; Chordata; Aves; Galliformes; Phasianidae.
AAUUCACAAAAUAAUUUAUUUUUAAUAAUUUGUCAUUUUUGAAAAUUUCCUGUUGUAGAGAAGACUAUUCCCCAAGAAGAAUGAGUGUCUGCAAUUAUUUAAAGCCAUUUCUGUUCCAAAUGUGGUAGUACUCAGAAUAGAGUUUGCAUGAGACCUGAGGCCCAUCACAGAGAAACUCCCACUAACCUAUCAGUGAUGAGGAGGUAAAGUGGCUCCUCUGGAGGACACAAAUUCUACCAAAGCCAGCAAAAUUGCCAUCAGGAAGGUGCAGCCUUACAGCUAGUUACUCCGGUCACUAGGGAUGUGACUUUCUGUGGUGUGUAAGGAAGAUUCUCUUCUCCCUUGUUGCAGGAUGACACAGCAGAACUUCUCAGGUAAUUCUGCUUUGCUUGAGUACUGGUGAUGUCAUGGUG